RNAcentral lists this ribosomal RNA (482 nucleotides) under uncultured bacterium. RNAcentral's name for it is "partial 16S ribosomal RNA". It matches the Rfam family "Bacterial small subunit ribosomal RNA", at positions 29 to 507 of the family's 1533-position model. The record is from RNAcentral.
ACGCACGCUGGCGGCGUGCUUCACACAUGCAAGUCGCACGCUGAAGCUCAGCUUUUGUUGGGUGGAUGAGUGGCGAACGGGUGAGUAACACGUGAGUAACCUGCCUCCUUCUUUGGGAUAACGCCCGGAAACGGGUGCUAAUACUGGAUAUUCACUGGUCUUCGCAUGGGGGUUGGUGGAAAGGGUUUUUCUGGUGGGGGAUGGGCUCGCGGCCUAUCAGCUUGUUGGUGGGGUGAUGGCCUACCAAGGCUUUGACGGGUAGCCGGCCUGAGAGGGUGACCGGUCACAUUGGGACUGAGAUACGGCCCAGACUCCUACGGGAGGCAGCAGUGGGGAAUAUUGCACAAUGGGCGCAAGCCUGAUGCAGCGACGCCGCGUGAGGGAUGGAGGCCUUCGGGUUGUGAACCUCUUUCGCUCAUGGUCAAGCCGCAACAAUGGUUGUGGUGAGGGUAGUGGGUAAAGAAGCGCCGGCUAACUACGUG